AGUUGGAGAUGGAUUUUCAGGCACAAUCCAAAUGCAGGGAAGAAAGAUGAAGACCUUGUGGCCAAGCCCAUGUAGCUUAGACCUGUCUUAUUCUGUGCUUUUUUAUUUUGGUCUUUCCAUGCGUAUUAAUUUGGUCAUUUCCGCUCUGCUUUUCUGUAGUUAUUUUGAUCAAGUUAAAAACAAAAACAAAAGUGACCAACAGGCAUGAGUUGUUUACAUGAUUUUCACUUCAAGAUUAAGGGAACAAUAAGGCAAGAAAUUAGGGGUUGGCACUAUUCAGUCACAAUUU
Molecule: unclassified non-coding RNA, 289 nt
Filed under: Hevea brasiliensis (rubber tree)
Lineage: Eukaryota; Viridiplantae; Streptophyta; Magnoliopsida; Malpighiales; Euphorbiaceae
Source: RNAcentral